GUGGGCAGAGGUGUGUGUGUGUGAUUAGGGUGGGUGUGUGUGUGUGUGUGUGUGUGUGUGAUUAGGGCAGAGGUGUGUGUGUGUGUGUGUGUGAUUAGGGCAAAGGUGUGGUGUGUGUGUGUGUGUGUGUGUGUGAUUAGGGUGUGUGUGUGUGAUUAGGGUGUGUGUGUGAUUAGGGUGUGUGUGUGUGUGUGUGUGUGUGAUUAGGGCAGAGGUGUGUGUGUGUGUGUGUGAUUAGGGCAGAGGUGUGUGUGUGUGUGUGUGUGUGUGUGUGUGUGUGUGUGUGUGUGUGUGAUUAGGGCAGAGGUGUGUGUGUGUGAUUAGGGCAGAGGUGUGUGUGUGUGUGUGUGUGUGAUUAGGGCAGAGGUGUGUGUGUGUGUGUGUGUGGCAGAGGUGUGUGUGUGUGUGUGUGUGUGUGUGUGUGUGUGUGUGUGUG
Clupea harengus (Atlantic herring) is the source of this 436-nucleotide long non-coding RNA. The record is from Ensembl. NCBI's taxonomy places the organism in Eukaryota, Metazoa, Chordata, Actinopteri, Clupeiformes, Clupeidae.